GACGUUUCUAACCUAACAAGUUCUGUGGCACUCUCUCAUGCAAACACAAAUAUAAAAAUGACACAAAUAAUGCUAGUUACAUUUCUUAACCGUAGUUUAUCUGGCUCUAAACGGCCAAACUUGCCCGUUUAAUUUAAACUCGGAUUUGAUAUGUUUAACCGUGAAUAAAUUAUUGGUAGAAACCAAUAUUUCGAUUAACUUAACUUAAUCGAAUGUUACUAGGGAUUAUAGGUUUAAACUGUGUUGGUAGAAACGGGCCUUAUAGUGUCUGUAUAAUGUGGUUUAAAAAGUUUGAUUCGGGUGUUUAUCAUGAACACUGCAGACGUAAUGGAACUAGAAGCGAAGUGGAAGUAUUGUACGUUGAGUAUCCAUUCCAAACACACCAGAAGAUCGCAGAUCGGCUUGGCAUUCGUAAAACAACGGUAUCGCAUCAUGUGAAAGCAAUAAAAAAGGAGGCAGAAUUGAAAGUAUUGCUGGACAAAAUUCCGCACUAAAUACCACCGGCUUACAGAGAACUUUGGCAUUUCUGAAGCAGCAGCAUGGUAUCAUGUGAAAGCAAUAGAAGAAAACCGGGAGAAAGAAACACAAGAGAUGAAGAGGAGUAUAUAGAUGCAUAUACGACCUCGGAUACAGAUGAAGCCGAUAAUACUCUCGGUGCGGCGCGUACCUGACAAAGUGCUCACUUCAUAAGCACAGUGAGCGACUGCUUCCUUUUUACUUCCUUAUUACUCGGAGAGACUUGCGGCACUUGUCAGCAACGUUUGAAGAAAGUAACAAACUGUUAGCGUAAUAUUUAUAAUAUAUAUUGUUUGUAACAUUUGGAAAUGUUAGAAAAAUGUACAUGUCUCUGCUACAUAUACCUUCAUUCUGGUAACUACGAUCUCAAACACGUUUGUCACUAGUACUACUAUGUUUUACUAAACAUCAUAUCUGAAAAUUAAAUAAUUUUUUGUAUUUACAUAAUUGACUAUGAAACUUCUUCUUUCUCUGUACAAAUAAAUCGUCGCACCUGUACUUUAA
Molecule: long non-coding RNA, 1020 nt
Organism: Ooceraea biroi (clonal raider ant)
Lineage: Eukaryota; Metazoa; Arthropoda; Insecta; Hymenoptera; Formicidae
Source: RefSeq, a predicted model, not a curated record